UGUUGGUUCAAGCCUGUAGUCGUGCCUGGUAGGCAAAUCCGCCGGGCUUAGAUGAGGGGUGAUAACGAGUCUGCUUGCAGACGAAGUGAGUGAUACCCAGCUUCCAGGAAAAGCCACUAAGCUUCAGCUACACACGACCGUACCGCAAACCGACACUGGUGCGCGAGAUGAGUAUUCUAAGGCGCUUGAGAGAACUCAGGAGAAGGAACUCGGCAAAUUGAUACCGUAACUUCGGGAGAAGGUAUGCCCCAAGUAGGUGAACUCGAACAGAGGGAGCCCAACGGGGUUGCAAAAAAUCGGUGGCUGCGACUGUUUAAUAAAAACACAGCACUCUGCAAACACGAAAGUGGACGUAUAGGGUGUGACGCCUGCCCGGUGCUGGAAGAUUAAAUGAUGGGGUGCAAGCUCUUGAUUGAAGUCCCAGUAAACGGCGGCCGUAACAAUAACGGUCCUAAGGUAGCGAAAUUCCUUGUCGGGUAAGUUCCGACCUGCACGAAUGGCGUAACGAUGGCCACACUGUCUCCUCCUGAGACUCAGCGAAGUUGAAAUGUUUGUGAUGAUGCAAUCUCCCCGCGGAAAGACGGAAAGACCCCAUGAACCUUUACUGUAGCUUUGUAUUGGACUUUGAACAGAUCUGUGUAGGAUAGGUGGGAGGCUUUGAAGUGAUGUCGCUAGAUGUCAUGGAGCCAACGUUGAAAUACCACCCUGGUGUGUUUGAGGUUCUAACCUAGGUCCAUUAUCUGGAUCGGGGACAGUGCAUGGUAGGCAGUUUGACUGGGGCGGUCUCCUCCCAAAGCGUAACGGAGGAGUUCGAAGGUACGCUAGUUACGGUCGGACAUCGUGACGAUAGUGCAAUGGCAUAAGCGUGCUUAACUGCGAGACUGACAAGUCGAGCAGAUGCGAAAGCAGGACAUAGUGAUCCGGUGGUUCUGUAUGGAAGGGCCAUCGCUCAACGGAUAAAAGGUACUCUGGGGAUAACAGGCUGAUACCGCCCAAGAGUUCAUAUCGACGGCGGUGUUUGGCACCUCGAUGUCGGCUCAUCUCAUCCUGGGGCUGUAGCCGGUCCCAAGGGUAUGGCUGUUCGCCAUUUAAAGAGGUACGUGAGCUGGGUUUAAAACGUCGUGAGACAGUUUGGUCCCUAUCUUCCGUGGGCGCUGCAGAUUUGAGGAAGCCUGCUCCUAGUACGAGAGGACCGGAGUGGACACACCUCUGGUGUAUCGGUUGUCACGCCAGUGGCAUUGCCGAGUAGCUAAGUGUGGAAGAGAUAACCGCUGAAAGCAUCUAAGCGGGAAACUCGUUUCAAGAUGAGAUCUGCCGGGGCCUUGAGCCCCCUGAAGAGUCGUUCAAGACCAGGACGUUGAUAGGUCAGGUGUGGAAGCGAAG
RNAcentral lists this ribosomal RNA (1383 nucleotides) under metagenome. Its description in RNAcentral is "bacterial LSU rRNA". It matches the Rfam family "Bacterial large subunit ribosomal RNA", at positions 1505 to 2878 of the family's 2925-position model. The record is from RNAcentral.